UGGGGAAUUGUUCGCAAUGGGCGCAAGCCUGACGACGCAACGCCGCGUGGAGGACGAAGAUCUUCGGGUCGUAAACUCCUUUCGAUCGGGACGAAUCGUCCGCGACCUAAUACGUCGCGGGACUGACGGUACCGAGCGAAGAAGCCCCGGCUAACUCCGUGCCAGCAGCCGCGGUAAUACGGGGGGGGCAAGCGUUGUUCGGAAUUACUGGGCGUAAAGGGCGCGUAGGCGGCCUUCUAAGUCGGACGUGAAAUCCCUCGGCUCAACCGGGGAACUGCGCCCGAUACUGGAGGGCUCGAAUCCGGGAGAGGGAUGUGGAAUUCCAGGUGUAGCGGUGAAAUGCGUAGAUAUCUGGAGGAACACCGGUGGCGAAGGCGGCAUCCUGGACCGGCAUUGACGCUGAGGCGCGAAAGCCAGGGGAGCAAA
RNAcentral lists this ribosomal RNA (426 nucleotides) under uncultured bacterium. RNAcentral's name for it is "bacterial SSU rRNA". It matches the Rfam family "Bacterial small subunit ribosomal RNA", at positions 355 to 772 of the family's 1533-position model. The record is from RNAcentral.